CCUACGGGUGGCAGCAGUGAGGAAUAUUGGUCAAUGGGAGAGAUCCUGAACCAGCCAAGCCGCGUGAGGGAAGACGGCCCUAUGGGUUGUAAACCUCUUUUGUCGGAGAACAAAACCCGGGACGUGUCCCGGACUGCGUGUAUCCGAAGAACAAGCAUCGGCUAACUCCGUGCCAGCAGCCGCGGUAAUACGGAGGAUGCGAGCGUUUUCCGGAUUUAUUGGGUUUAAAGGGUGCGUAGGCGGUCGGUUAAGUCAGCGGUAAAAUUGCGGGGCUCAACCCCGUCGAGCCGUUGAAACUGGCGGACUUGGGUGGGCGAGAGGAACGCGGAAUGCGGGGUGUGGCGGUGAAAUGCAUAG
Molecule: ribosomal RNA, 357 nt
Filed under: uncultured bacterium
Lineage: Bacteria
Description: partial 16S ribosomal RNA
Rfam family: Bacterial small subunit ribosomal RNA
Source: RNAcentral